CGCGUAGGCGGGAUGGCAAGUCGGUCGUGAAAUCCCUCGGCUCAACUGAGGAUCGUCGAUCGAUACUGCCGUUCUUGAGGAUUGCAGAGGAGACUGGAAUUCCCGGUGUAGCGGUGAAAUGUGUAGAGAUCGGGAGGAACACCGGUGGCGAAGGCGGGUCUCUGGGCAAUUCCUGACGCUGAGGCGCGAAAGCGUGGGAGCAAACG
Molecule: ribosomal RNA, 206 nt
Filed under: uncultured bacterium
Lineage: Bacteria
Description: partial 16S ribosomal RNA
Rfam family: Bacterial small subunit ribosomal RNA
Source: RNAcentral